AACAUGACCAUGGCAACUCUUAUGAGAAUAACGUUUAACUGGGGCUUCAGUCCAUUAUCACCAAGGUUGAAGCAUGACAGAGUGCAAGCAAGCAUGGUGCAGGAGGAGUUGAGAGUUCUACAUCUUCAUCUAGAGGCUGCUAGGAAAGGACUGCCUCCCAGGCAGUUAGGAUGAGGGUAAUGAAGAUCAUGCCCACAGUGACACACUUAGUCCAAUAAGGCCACAACUCCAAAUAGUGCCACUCCCUGGGCCAAGCAUAUACAAACUAUCACAUACAUCAUUGGGAACCUGAUGACACCUGAAAUACUUGUAUAAGGCUUCUUAGUUGAAGCCUCAGCAAUCUGAAGGACUUAGACACCUUGAUUUUCAUAUCCAUUUCAAAAAUGCAGUACAAAUCUGUAGAAGGUACAUUGUUUUGUAUUUCACAAUAUAGUUAAUACAGCAGAAAACAUGGCCAGUAUAUAUUUGCCUUAAAUCAUACAAUAAAAUGGUUUGUCAGAGUAUAAAAUAAUAUUGAUAUCUUGAGACAAUUUUUGGUUAAUAAAAUAUCAUUAUUUCCUAAAAGAAUUUAUAUGAGAAUUGUCUAAGAAUCUUGUUUUGCAUUCAAUACUAAACAGACACUGAAUUUGAUAUAGUAAUUUUCUAUAAAAAAUACUCAAAUAGAAUUUCAAUGGCAUCCUCAAUUGUUUAAAAAAAAACAUACUGGAAACUUGAGAUGGGAAUUUUAGGCAGGGUAGCUCUAAAUCCUUACAUUCUGUUUUCAUACUUUCAUUGUGCAACCAUAUGUAUGCUAGUAACUGGGAGAUUUUAUUUAAGGUUUCUCUCCAAGGGCCAUGAGAUGGAGACUGGGGUACCUCCUUUUCUGUUGAUCUUUCCACACUGUUGCAACAUGUAGCAGUUUGAAUUCAGUACUUCUCUAGAGACAAAGCAAAAGGUCCAGGAGAAAGAACAUCUAUGAGCAUUAAAACAAAUAUGAGCACACUGACAUUUCCCCCAUAUACCAAAUCUGUGCUGUUUUUCUGACAUUAAACACGAUUGUAUUACAUACCAACCAAAAGUAACAGGGGUUCUCUAACUAGACCAAUUAUUAUACAAAAAUAAUAAAUUGUUUGGUUAUUAUAAGAGACUAAUGAAAAUGAUAAAUAACCUAGGCACAAGUACCUUACUGCCCAUUAUUUUGUUAAUAAAUCUGUCUUAUUCGCGUUCUCACGACCGGCCAGGAAAGACGCAACAAACCAGAAUCUUCUGCGGCAAAACUUUAUUGCUUACAUCUUCAGGAGCCAGGAGCGCAAACCCCCAGCCCCAAAAGCGAAAGCCACCCCAAUUACAUCUUUAGGAGCCAGAGCUCCGGCGCGCCAAAGCGCAGAGCGCGCUCUAUUGUUUACAUCUUUUGGAACAAGCGAGCAGGCGCCAGAGCCAGAGAGAGAAAUGGCGGAAACCCCGUCCCCUUUAAGGAGGAGUUAUCCUUCGCUUAGGACGCAUCACUCCCUGAUUGGCUGCAGCCCAUGGCCGAGCUGACGUUCACGGGAAAGGCAGAGUACAAGUAGUCGUAAAAUACCCUUGGCACAUGCGCAGAUUAUUUGUUUACCACUUAGAACACAGGAUGUCAGCGCCAUCUUGUGACGGCGAAUGUGGGGGCGGCUCCCAACAAAUCUGAAUUUAUUUUAAGUGAUGCAUAAAUAGAGUAAACAGAACCCACAUUUUCCAUUAAUCUGCUGUGACAUGUCUUCUAAACAAACACCUUGCUAUGUCAGCCUUCAUCCAUUUUAUAUGUUCUGAAAAGUAUUCUAAACUCUAGAGAAAGACAUUUAUUGUUCCCUUUUAACUCCUGAUGGAGGCUGACUUUGAAAAAUGAGAGAGAAAUCUUAUGCCCUACUAAUUCACAGUAGAAAAACCUAAGAGAUUUAGAACAUAGAACUUUUCAAGACACUGAUUACAAAGGGUAUUUUCCAAAUAUUUUUCUGAAAAAAAACAUAAAAUCUUUUGUUUUUAUUUAAUAUAUUUGUCACUAGGCUGGACAUCAAUUUUGGCCAACUUGUUUGCAUGCAUCUUGUUGCUAUGGCUUGAUAAUUUCCACAGAGGUAUCAAAGAGUAUAGCCUCCAGGUUGCCACAGUAUUGGGUUGACAACAUCAUAUUUUUUUUAUUUCACAUCCAUAGCUGUGUAUAUGUUAGGACAAUGUUCUGCUACUGUGUCCUAUCACAAAACCUAGAUUUUAAUUAUUUAUUUAUUUUAUUGAGGAACCACAAUGUUGUUAUUUCAUACAAAGUUACAACUCUAUACUCUCACCAGCAUGCACAAGGUUUCUCAUGUUUCAAUGUCCUUGUUAACAAUUUGUGGCUUGUAUCUACUAGACAUUGCCUUUGAUAAAUGUACUGAAGUAAAGAAAUAUCUAAUUUUGGUCACAUUCUUUAUUAUACUAAUAAUAUGUGUUGUGAAUAAUGAAUGUUUCAUAUGUGAUUAAUCACUUGUGUGUUUUACUUCAGAGAUAUCUUUAAAUCUAUUACUUAUUUUUAGGUUGGUUGUUUAUUCAUAAGUCAUGAUAUUUUAACUUCUUUCUGUAUGUUAAAAAUAAAUUUCUUACCAGAGAAAGAUUCAGACUAUAUUUGAAUAUACUUGGCAUUCUUUUUACUCUGUUAAUUCUUUAAUUUUCUUGGCUAUGUAAAAGAUUUUUGGCAAUUUUAUAAGGUGUCAUUUAUUUGAUUUCAGUUUUAUUUCUGGUGUUGGUAAACUUUUAUAGG
Molecule: long non-coding RNA, 2740 nt
Filed under: Mus musculus (house mouse)
Lineage: Eukaryota; Metazoa; Chordata; Mammalia; Rodentia; Muridae
Description: long non-coding RNA chr1:146804600-146807340
Source: RNAcentral